AGUGAACGCUGGCGGUAGGCCUAACACAUGCAAGUCGAACGGCAGCACAGUAAGAGCUUGCUCUUACGGGUGGCGAGUGGCGGACGGGUGAUGAAUACAUCGGAAUCUACUUUUUCGUGGGGGAUAACGUAGGGAAACUUACGCUAAUACCUCAUACGACCUACGGGUGAAAGCAGGGGAUCUUCGGACCUUGCGCGAUUGAAUGAGGCGAUGUCGGAUUAGCUAGUUGGCGGGGUAAAGGCCCACCAAGGCGACGAUCCGUAGCUGGUCUGAGAGGAUGAUCAGCCACACUGGAACUGAGACACGGUCCAGACUCCUACGGGAGGCAGCAGUGGGGAAUAUUGGACAAUGGGCGCAAGCCUGAUCCAGCCAUACCGCGUGGGUGAAGAAGGCCUUCGGGUUGUAAAGCCCUUUUGUUGGGAAAGAAAAGCAGCAGGUUAAUACCCCGCUGUUCUGACGGUACCCAAAGAAUAAGCACCGGCUAACUUCGUG
Molecule: ribosomal RNA, 492 nt
Filed under: uncultured bacterium
Lineage: Bacteria
Description: partial 16S ribosomal RNA
Rfam family: Bacterial small subunit ribosomal RNA
Source: RNAcentral